Molecule: long non-coding RNA, 159 nt
Organism: Nannospalax galili (Upper Galilee mountains blind mole rat)
Lineage: Eukaryota; Metazoa; Chordata; Mammalia; Rodentia; Spalacidae
Exons: 3
Source: RefSeq, a predicted model, not a curated record
CGAAGCACUUUGUCGCCCUGUCUACCAACACGUCUUAUGCACUCAGUGGGAUCCUGAUGACCCCAUCCAUCUCCCAGGCGUGACUCAGCCCCAUGACCCCAUACACUUGGCCUCCCUUGACCUGCAUAGAGGAUGUGCCAGGGUCUCCCUGUAGCUCCA